UGGGGAAUAUUGCACAAUGGGCGAAAGCCUGAUGCAGCGACGCCGCGUGAGGGAUGAAGGCCUUCGGGUUGUAAACCUCUUUCAGCAGGGAAGAAGCGCAAGUGACGGUACCUGCAGAAGAAGCGCCGGCUAACUACGUGCCAGCAGCCGCGGUAAUACGUAGGGCGCAAGCGUUGUCCGGGAUUAUUGGGCGUAAAGAGCUCGUAGGCGGUUUGUCGCGUCUGGUGUGAAAACUCGAGGCUCAACCUCGAGCUUGCAUCGGGUACGGGCAGACUAGAGUGCGGUAGGGGAGACUGGAAUUCCUGGUGUAGCGGUGGAAUGCGCAGAUAUCAGGAGGAACACCGAUGGCGAAGGCAGGUCUCUGGGCCGCAACUGACGCUGAGGAGCGAAAGCAUGGGGAGCGAACA
This 407-nucleotide ribosomal RNA is filed under the name uncultured bacterium. RNAcentral's name for it is "partial 16S ribosomal RNA". It matches the Rfam family "Bacterial small subunit ribosomal RNA", at positions 355 to 774 of the family's 1533-position model. The record is from RNAcentral.